This 512-nucleotide ribosomal RNA is filed under the name uncultured bacterium. Its description in RNAcentral is "partial 16S ribosomal RNA". It matches the Rfam family "Bacterial small subunit ribosomal RNA", at positions 28 to 507 of the family's 1533-position model. The record is from RNAcentral.
GAUGAACGCUGGCGGCGUGCCUAAUACAUGCAAGUCGAACGAAACUUCUUUAUCACCGAGUGCUUGCACUCACCGAUAAAGAGUUGAGUGGCGAACGGGUGAGUAACACGUGGGCAACCUGCCCAAAAGAGGGGGAUAACACUUGGAAACAGGUGCUAAUACCGCAUAACCAUAGUUACCGCAUGGUAACUAUGUAAAAGGUGGCUAUACUACCGCUUUUGGAUGGGCCCGCGGCGCAUUAGCUAGUUGGUAGGGUAAAGGCUUACCAAGGCAAUGAUGCGUAGCCGAAAUGGGAGGGUGAUCGGCCACACUGGAACUGAGACACGGGCCAGACUCCUAAGGGAGGGAGCAGUAGGGAAUCUUCCCCAAUGGGGGAAAGCCUGACGGAGCAACGCCGCGUGGGUGAAGAAGGUUUUCGGAUCGGAAAACCCUGUUUUUAGGGAAGAAAAGUGGUGGAAGUAACUUUGCACAUUUUGACGGUACCUAAACAGAAAGCCACGGCUAACUACGUG